GCAGAUUAGGUAGUUGGUGGGGUAAAGGCCUACCAAGCCUGUGAUCUGUAGCUGGUUUGAGAGGAUGAUCAGCCACACUGGGACUGAGACACGGCCCAGACUCCUACGGGAGGCAGCAGUGGGGAAUAUUGGACAAUGGGGGAAGCCCUGAUCCAGCAAUGCCGCGUGAAUGAAGAAGGCCUUAGGGUUGUAAAAUUCUUUUGUUCGUGAAGAUAAUGACGGUAGCGGACGAAUAAGCCCUGGCUAACUCUGUGCCAGCCGCCGCGGUAAUAC
This 273-nucleotide ribosomal RNA is filed under the name uncultured Alphaproteobacteria bacterium. Its description in RNAcentral is "partial 16S ribosomal RNA". It matches the Rfam family "Bacterial small subunit ribosomal RNA", at positions 236 to 526 of the family's 1533-position model. The record is from RNAcentral. Lineage: Bacteria; Pseudomonadati; Pseudomonadota; Alphaproteobacteria.